Molecule: ribosomal RNA, 472 nt
Filed under: uncultured bacterium
Lineage: Bacteria
Description: partial 16S ribosomal RNA
Rfam family: Bacterial small subunit ribosomal RNA
Source: RNAcentral
GAUGAACGCUGACAGAAUGCUUAACACAUGCAAGUCUACUUGAUCUUUCGGGUGAAGGUGGCGGACGGGUGAGUAACGCGUAAAGAACUUGCCUUACAGACUGGGACAACAUUUGGAAACGAAUGCUAAUACCGGAUAUUAUGACUGGGUCGCAUGAUCUGGUUAUGAAAGCUAUAUGCGCUGUGAGAGAGCUUUGCGUCCCAUUAGUUAGUUGGUGAGGUAACGGCUCACCAAGACGAUGAUGGGUAGCCGGCCUGAGAGGGUGAACGGCCACAAGGGGACUGAGACACGGCCCUUACUCCUACGGGAGGCAGCAGUGGGGAAUAUUGGACAAUGGACCAAGAGUCUGAUCCAGCAAUUCUGUGUGCACGAAGAAGUUUUUCGGAAUGUAAAGUGCUUUCAGUUGGGAAGAAGUCAGUGACGGUACCAACAGAAGAAGCGACGGCUAAAUACGUGCCAGCAGCCGCAGUAA